RNAcentral lists this ribosomal RNA (460 nucleotides) under uncultured bacterium. RNAcentral's name for it is "partial 16S ribosomal RNA". It matches the Rfam family "Bacterial small subunit ribosomal RNA", at positions 338 to 795 of the family's 1533-position model. The record is from RNAcentral.
CCUACGGGAGGCAGCAGUGAGGAAUAUUGGUCAAUGGACGAGAGUCUGAACCAGCCAAGUAGCGUGAAGGAUGACUGCCCUAUGGGUUGUAAACUUCUUUUAUAUGGGAAUAAAAUGUUCCACGUGUGGGAGUUUGUAUGUACCAUAUGAAUAAGGAUCGGCUAACUCCGUGCCAGCAGCCGCGGUAAUACGGAGGAUCCGAGCGUUAUCCGGAUUUAUUGGGUGUAAAGGGAGCGUAGGUGGAUUGUUAAGUCAGUGGUGAAAGUUUGGGGCUCAACCGGAAAAUUGCAGUUGAAACUGGCAGACUUGAGUGUAGUAGAGGUGGGCGGAAUUCGUGGUGUAGCGGUGAAAUGCUUAGAUAUCACGAAGAACUCCGAUUGCGAAGGCAGCUCACUGGACUGCAACUGACACUGAGGCUCGAAAGUGUGGGUAUCAAACAGGAUUAGAUACCCGAGUAGUC